Molecule: ribosomal RNA, 462 nt
Filed under: Triticum aestivum (bread wheat)
Lineage: Eukaryota; Viridiplantae; Streptophyta; Magnoliopsida; Poales; Poaceae
Description: partial small subunit ribosomal RNA
Source: RNAcentral
AUGCUUCCAGCUGGCCAGAAUCCUACCUGGAGAGAUUUCACUGAGGCUUUUCGCGAGCAUCACAUUCCUGAAGCCCUCAUCGAUCGCAAGAGAGAAGAGUUCUGUAGUUUCACCCAGAGUAAGAUGGCUGUUGAUGCUUAUAGUAGAGAGUUUGAGAACCUCGCUCGCUAUGCCACAGAAGAAGUGUCCACGGACGCCAAGAAGCAGGCUAGGUUCCGGAAGGGUCUCAACCCCAAGUUGCGUCGUGAUCUCCACUUGCAUCAUUGUGAUACAUUCCAAGCCCUUGUGAACAAAGCCAUCAAUGCAGAAACAGCUCAGCUCACCUACAGGAGUCUCGUAAGCACGCCCGUGAUUUGGGAUCUUCUUCCGGUUCUAGUUCUCAAAAGCGCCGGAUUUGGGUUCCAAACUCCGCUCUUCCUUCCGGAUAUACACCGAGGCCAUCCCAUGUGGUGCCACCCCUAG